UUGCGGCCCCCGUAGCAGCGUGCGCAUGCGCGUCGGGUCCCGCCGCUGGCCUGUGUGGGCCCUGUGGCCGCGGGCGGGGGUGUGUGGGGAAUGGCGUCCACAUUGUGCUAGCUGCUCGCCGGCCCGCGGGGCGGAAGCUGUCAGGGAAGGACGCGGAGAGCCGCGGUCUCCCGCGCUCGGGUUCAGCAGUCGCUGCCUCCGACCUCCGGGAGUCGGGACCCAGAGGUGCGCACAGCCGUUGCUUGUUGGAUGAACAGACCCACGAACGCGGAUCCUCACGAGUGUCCUCGAAGCCGCGUGCCUUGGGCCCACGUCCAGGCCUGCGGACCCGGGCUCCAGUGCCGGGACUAGAAGUCUAGGUCUGCAGACUCAGGUCCAGUACUGAGGCCCCGUGCCCUAGACCCGCUUCCAGGCCCGACAGAAGAAGGCUGGGGCCCUUGUGCCAAUACUGGCAGGGAUUCCGUUCUAAACUGCCGUUCGCCGAGUAUCUCCGCUCGAAGGGAGUCCGGGAACAAGGGGCAGGCUUUGGGCGCUGGUGGUGUAACAGGGAAGAGCUAAAUCCGACUCCCUGUUCCGUCUGUUUCUUUGAUUUCAGCCUUUGUUUUUCGUCGCUUUUGUUGGUGUAAUCAUAUACAUAUAUUAUGGCCUGCCCCAGGGAACCCUGCCCCUCUGCCUGAAUGUUAAACUAAAGAGCCUCUCUUCGUUUCCCAGGGAGACAGUCUCACCCCGCCCACCUGUAGAUGGCUGCCGAAAAAAAAAAAAAAAAGACAUUAACACAUCCCCUCACUCAGGCUGGCAGUUCCAGGGAAUAUUUGCAAAACGUAUGGCCUUUUUACUUUGCUUCCUCGUCUCUAACCCCUUUCUGUUCUAUAAAAGAAGCUGGCGUCCAAACCCCGAUAAGAUGGUUUAUCGGAGACACUAGUCUGCCGUCUUCUCAGUCUGCCGGUAGUGACUUAUUUUCUCUCUUAUUCUCUACCUUGCUAAGGAGAGAUGAGAAACUAGGGCUUCCUGUACAGUGUGAAUUCCAGAGAAUCCAGGAGUUUUCCAUAAAUACACUCCUGCUUUCCAGUUUGGUGUGAUCGUGAUGAAAUGCCUACUGUUUUGUUUUAUUACAUCACCUACUCCGUUCCUUACCUAAAAUGUAACAAUUAAAAGGUGGAGCCCCAAAGGCUUUUAUUGCCCAUCCUUACUGCCUUCAGUAGAAUUUUAUCUAAUCUCAAUGAGAUAGAAAGCACAUGGUAAGACCCCUAGAAACACAGAUGAUACACUUGCUCUGAUAAAACAGUCCAAUGUUCAGCAUCUUUUAGGUGGAAAAUACUUAUAUUUGGCCUGUUUAUACUGAAGUGUGAGAUCCUAUUCUUUUGUCCUUAACUUAAAAAGAUCAGAAAAUAGAGCGGAAAAAAUGCUAUGAAAUAAUAAACCUGUGUGCUUCUGUAAUAAGAGUACAUCUAUACAUUCCCUAAAUUUUUUCCAUUUGAAGUAUAGUAUCUUUAGUUUUGCGUAUGCAAGAAGACGAAAUAAACUGAUACCUCUACUAAUGGGGAGAAAGCUUUCCAAGGAUAUGUGAGGUUGAGCCAUGGAAUUUGCCAGUGUCCAAUUGUGUUUAACCUAAAAAGGGCAAUUUCAUAAUUUUCAACCUGUACCUGGGUGUAAGAAAUUUUACUUAGAAAAGAAUAUUGAAGAUUUAAGAAUGUGAUUUGGGCCUUUUCACUUCUCAUGCCCUAUGAGCCAAGCUUCGUUUCCUAAAAAAUACCACAUAAAAUGUACUGACGUCAUAAGCCAAUGGAGAUAAUUGAAUAAGAGUCUAGGCUCCAUAGUCAGACUGCCUGGGUUAGAAUCCUGGCUCCCCCGUUUUGUAGCUGUGACGUUUGGGGCAAGUCAACCUAAACUCCUGUUUCACUUUCUGAUAUGCGAAAAUCAAGGUGAUAAUAGUGCCUACCUUGCAGGGUUGUUAUGAGGAUUAAAUAAUACAUCAAUCGACCCUCAUCAUUCAGGGGUUCUAUAUUACAAAUUCACCUACAUGCCAAAAUUUAUUUGUAACCCCGAGAUCAAUACUUGCAAGCACUUUCGCAGUCACUCAGGACAUGUGCAGAACAGUGAAAAGUCAGACACCCAACACUCACCAUCACGGCUGGGGUGGAACAAGGCCGUGAUGUGCCUUCCUGUUUCAACUCAUACUGCAAACAGGCGCCGUUUUUGCGGUCUGCUUACUGCUACAUUUUUUCACAUACUUGUGCCUUUUCUUGGUGAUCUCACUGUUUAAAAUAGCCCCCAAGCCUAAUGCUGAAGUGCUGUCUAGGGUCCUAAGCACAAGAAGGCUUAUGGAAAAAAAGUAUGUGUUAGAGAAGCUUCAUUCAGGCUGUUGUAUGCUGAUGUCUGUGAGUUCCACAUUAAUGAAUAAUACAUACUGAAUACGAAGUUUUUAAACAGAAUCACUUCAGACAAGGUUAUGGGUUGAUCAGUUGAGGAACGCGCAGUCAGAGGCUCGCAGGACCCUGACCCGUGUCUGCAGGAGUGGGGCCUCAGUCUUCAUAAACCAGUGUUUGCAGCGACUUUAUCAAACGUAACCUGCAGAUGACAAGGAUUGACUAUAGGUUUAAGGACGGGGCCUACCACAUGCCAAGUGCUGAACAAAUGCUGGGUUUUGUGAUUCUAACCAUUACUGUUGUUUCAUCGUGUCUAAUGUCUGCUCUGGGUCCCUGUCUCCCUUCCCAUCUGUGAAAGGAAAAUCUAAACGGAGUCAUUAUUGCUCAGAGAGCUCUGUGACCUGGAACCAGGAAGCCACGGAGGAACGUGACGUGCAUGCCUCAGCCUGGAUGGACUCUGACCUUUUGACCUGAUGAAGUUGUCCAGAGCACCUGCCAGAAACGCAAGAUACUUAUCGGACCCUUACCCUAAAAUAACUUGAGACAGUCUAUCUACUUAUUGGACCCCUGCCCUAGAACAACUGACGAUGCCUUAAGGACAAAUCUUCUCUCACUUGCGACUGUCAAUCACGGUUCUUGCCAGGCAACCUUUAACAGCCUCCUGGCUUGUUUUCUUUUUUCCUGGCUUUGUGUCUUCAGAAGCCCCUGAUCCUUUCUCUUCCUUGGAACACUCCUUUGGGGUUGCCCUGAAUCUGUCUCCCAGACUGCAAUUCUUAGGACCCCAAAUAGAUUCUUCCUAUUUGCACCCUGCAUUUUUUUUUUUGUCUGACACAUCCUAGUGAACAGUCUAAGGAGGCCCGAAGUUAGCUUGUACUUCGUGCCCAGAAUCCUAGAACAAAGGCCGGGAGCUUCCUACUUCUUCCUCUUCCUGCUUCUCAGCCACAGGGCUUUCCAGAGGCAAUGGCCUAUCCAAACAUGAGGCAGCCGGACAAGCAGGAUGCGGUCCCAAGUGGUGAGACGCAAAGCUUGAGAACAUCUUUCCUGGGCCCCCGAGAUGAGAGUCCUCGCUUCCUUCCAGGCCCGCCAGAGGGGGUCUCCGCACCUGCGAUGGUCCCUCCUCCCUCCUCCCUCCACCCACCCUCCCUCUGUCCCUUCACCAGCCCGCAGGGGAGCCCGAGUGAAGGAAGCAACAACAAGUUCCAGCAGAGCCCUCGGUCAGGGAAGCUGAGGUCCCCCCUGGGAGACGUGUGGUCCUUUCCGGAGGCAAGCCCAGGGCCAGCCCACCCCCCAGAGGCCACUCCAUCCCACGUCAAGACCUCUGCCCCCAAGGGGCCCCACGCACAAACCAGCACCCCUUCACCAGCUGACUGUGGUGAAAGAGGCUGGGUUCCCAGGGGGCCUUAGGAGAGGUAACACCUGGUGAGCCUCUGCGGGAACCCUUCCCCAUGGAAACAUUUUAAGCAUUUUGAAACAAAGACAAUACAAAACAUCUCAAGUUUCCUAUUCCCAUUUCUUAAGUUUCAUACAGUACUCUGUAGAAACAUGUAUCAGACACUCUCCAGUGACAAUUCAGUUAGGAAAUUACGCUUGAAUCUGAGCCCCUGAGCGGCUAGAAAGGCCUUAGAAAGAGUGCAGCAGCCAUGAGUUGGGAUAGAGCUGGUGACAGUUCAUCAUGGGCCCUUGUCUCUGUCUCAUAAGCUUGCCUUAAUCCCUUCUCUGGACAUGAUAGCAAAGCUGGGCACAAAAUGUAACACGAUAGCUCUUCUUCCUUGAGGACUGAGGCCCCAGAAUGCUUUGUGAGUGAACCAAGUCGGUUGCCCGUUAAGGCCGUGAGGCUGCCCCAGGCAGAGGGUGGGGACCAGCUGUCAUUGUGCAGGGGUGGGGAUGGAGAGACCUUCAUUCCUUUCUGCCUCCCGACCACACCCCUGGAAACAAAGCGAGCGCCCUGACAAGCCCUGCCAUAAGGGCGACACUCAGAGUGUCCCGCUGGAACAGGAAGCGGGCGCCGUCGCCACGCUCCCGGGUCAGCAGGGACCUGAGAUGAUCGCCAGACCGCUCCCGCACCCAGGGGAAGGCAGACGGGCGGGCAAACAGCAUGUGGUUUGGCAACGCCACUGUCCCAGGACACACACGGCACAGAAAGUGGCCGACGUCAGCUCCAGCCAGUCCCUCGUCUGGCCCCGCAGCCGGCCGUUCUCCACACGUGGCGUGGAGGUCAUUGUAAAUCUAUUCAUCUCACUCCUCUGCUGAAAAACCUCCAAGGACUCCACUCCAGCCCCAGAGAAAAGGGCACUAUCGUGAUAACAAAGGGCAGGGUAGAUUAGAGAAACGCACAGAACUGGUCCUAACCCAGCCCCGGCUCUUCUCUCCAGCCUCACACAUCACCACAACUUUCUUUCCACAGGGGCACACGUACGUGCAUGCCUGCAUGCACACCGUGUAAACACACGUGGAGACCCACCUGUUUAGCCAGGCCUCCGUGCUCAGCGUCUGCGGCAGCCACAGGCCUGUUCUCGUUGCUUGAAAUCUUGCCUCCCGUGUCCCCCAAGGCCCACCCCCAACUCCUCCAAACUUCCUUUCUUGGCCAAUGCCCACUUGACCUCUGGGUCUCCUACUUGGGGGAGCCCUCCCGGACCUUUUACGACGUGGCCAGGGGUCCGAGCCCAGAGCCCUCCUCAUGGUCUGUCCAUCCCUAAGCAGGGUCACCAGUCUCUCCCCAGCUUUGCCUGGCCGAGGUCGGUCAUCCCACUAGACUGCCUCGUGUCCAGCCCCCACCCCAUGAUGGAAGCUCAGACGAUGUUUAUAGAAUGAAUACAUGAGUAACAGUAACGAGAGCGUGUUUAAAGAAUCUGAGAUAUAAUUUGCCUCAAUACGACGUCUAAAGUUCAUUGUAGGGGUGAAAGUAAAUCUAGGUGUCAGUAAAUGAACAAUUAUGUGUUGAGCACGUUCUGUGUGUAGCUGUCCCUUCAGCGGGCUGGUGAGGUCUAGAAAGAUACAGCUGAGCGUUCAAACGGCCCAGAUAAGCCAGGCAUUUCUUCCGCCGUGGGUGCUCACAGGGCCUCACUCCACUACUGAGGAGGAGAAGGUCCGAACCUUUGCCAUGUGUGAGCUAAGUGGUGUGCAGUGUGCUUUGACCCUCAGGCUCCCUUCUCACACACUGAGCCGCGUGAACCACUGAGUGCUGAGUGAAGGGGUGUGUCCCCCAAAGAUCUGCUCUUUUGGAAAAUAUCCUGCUUCUUAAUUUUGCUCAAAUGUGUUAUUCCAAGGAAAGACACAAAGGUGAUUCUUUUUAUGAUUAUCUGUUGGGCAUUAUAUCUUUCCAGGGGAGAAGGUUUUUUUUGUUUUUCUUAAGAUUUUUUGAUGUAAACCAUUUUUAAAGUCUUUAUUGAAUUUGUUACAAUAUUACUUCUUCCUUUUUUUUUUAAUGUUUUGGCUUUUUUGGACCCAAGGCAUGUGGGAUCUUAGCUCCCCGACCAGAGAUUGAACCCGCACCUCCUGUAUUGAAAGGCAAAGUCUUAACCACCGGACCUCCAGGGAAUUCCCCAGGGGAAAAGUUUUUGCAACUCAAACCCCUUGACGAGAGAAAAUGCCACCCCCAAAUCCUGUUUCCUGAGAGAGAGCAGAGAGCCUGGUAGGUAAGAACAGAACUCUGCUCUUUCUCUGUCUUUCUGUCAACAGGUGCUGUUGUCAGCCAUAAAAUCCCUGCUGAGGUCACAGCUCUGCUGCAAAUGGAGCUUCCAGUCACCCUAUUAAUGUCCAUUUGAGGUCUUCAGGAAACUCCUUUACUAGUUCCUCAAAGCAAGGGACCCUCUCACGACUUUGAAUGAGUGAACCAGCUGUAAACGAGUUUUGGAUGUUGCUUGCUUAAAAGCAAAGGAUCAGAGUCUGGACUUGUGAUUGUGGUAUCCCUGCCCAUGACACUGUACACUCUUCCCAGUGAAGAGGGGGAACAGCUCCCCUCAGGCCUUAGGCAUUCUGGGCCUGCGGAGUCAGGAGCCCCAUCCCCUGUGGAUGACAUUACACUGGGCUAAUCGUAAAGGAUAUUUCCAGAUGCCCACGGCUCCACUGAUGUCUCAUCAGGAAUUGUGGACAUGAAGCCUAAGACGUUACGUUCCUUGUCUCAGGAUGGUUAGAGCUGCUGAUUGCAAACAGUGGAAUCUACUUGGACCAGUUUAAGCAGAAAAGGGAUUUACUAAAUGCUUUGAGGUCCACCACGGAAUCGUGCAGAAUAGAAAUGAGUUUUAAGACUAUGUUUCCAGGACCAACACCUGGACCGUGCGAUGCGACUGGACAAGUGAGAAAGUGGCCUCCACCUGCUUAAAGCCUGGGCAUCUGCUGCCGGAACUGACGCCCCUUCUCAGUGACGGAAGCUGCACGUGGACCCACAAAGUGGACGUUGUGUGGAGAGCCUGCUUCCUGGGAUGCUCGCUUCCAAAUGCAGGGUCACCUGGGAGGCUGUGUGGCACAGAGGGAGCCCUCCAAGCCUCCCGGCUGCCAGGGAGGCUUAAUUAGAAAGACUUUUAGAAGAAAAUGGAAUGUGGUUGGAUUUAAAUGAAGCAAAACUUGAAAGACUGGAUCCAUCCAUUAUAGACUGUUAUUAUCAUCUAUAUAAUAAUGCAGAUUAUUAUAUCUGUAGUGCUGGUUUAAAAAUACAGAGGAGGGACUUCGGCAGGCCCAGGGCAGGUGACUGGAGCCUGUUUGAACGUGUUUCACCCCGUGCUCUUGUUUCACUCUUGGCCAGUAGCAAAGAUAUUGCAGCGAAAGUCACUGCUGCACACAUUAGACUUCCAGCUGGCUCGCUUGGACCUUUACCCUGACUUUUGGCAAAAAUUGUGUCAAAAGUGGUGCUGCUCUUGCAAACUAAGCACAUGUGGUCUGGCUAAACUCUUGUGUUUUAUUUGUAUUUUAAAGGACAUAACUAUAGUCACUAUAAGGUUUGAGGUGGGUGAACUACUUAGAGGGUAUUUGAUUUGCUAGAAAAUAUAUUAAAAAAGCAAACCCUGCAUUCUGACUUCUGAGUGAAGAGAGGAUUUCAGACAAAAAUUUAAAAAAUAAAGAGAGCUUGUUUUUA
Long non-coding RNA from Orcinus orca (killer whale), 7437 nucleotides. RefSeq lists it as uncharacterized. The transcript has 3 exons. Lineage: Eukaryota; Metazoa; Chordata; Mammalia; Artiodactyla; Delphinidae. The record is from RefSeq and is a predicted model, not a curated record.